GUAAUGGUGGUUCAGUGGCAGAGCUGUCACUUUCCAUGUGGGAGACCUGGGUUUGAUUCCUAAUCAAUGCA
This 71-nucleotide transfer RNA is filed under the name Loxodonta africana (African savanna elephant). It matches the Rfam family "tRNA". From Rfam's summary of the family: Transfer RNA (tRNA) molecules are approximately 80 nucleotides in length. Their secondary structure includes four short double-helical elements and three loops (D, anti-codon, and T loops). Lineage: Eukaryota; Metazoa; Chordata; Mammalia; Proboscidea; Elephantidae. The record is from Rfam by way of RNAcentral.